GCGCUCAUAGCUCAGCUGGAUAGAGUGUUUGGCUACGAACCAAAAGGUCGGGGGUUCGAAUCCCUCUGGGCGUACCA
RNAcentral lists this transfer RNA (77 nucleotides) under Feifania hominis. RNAcentral describes it as "Clostridiales bacterium BX7 tRNA-Arg". It matches the Rfam family "tRNA". From Rfam's summary of the family: Transfer RNA (tRNA) molecules are approximately 80 nucleotides in length. Their secondary structure includes four short double-helical elements and three loops (D, anti-codon, and T loops). The record is from RNAcentral. Lineage: Bacteria; Bacillati; Bacillota; Clostridia; Eubacteriales; Feifaniaceae.